RNAcentral lists this unclassified non-coding RNA (226 nucleotides) under Hevea brasiliensis (rubber tree). The record is from RNAcentral. Lineage: Eukaryota; Viridiplantae; Streptophyta; Magnoliopsida; Malpighiales; Euphorbiaceae.
UGUCGUUCAAGAACACUGUGUAGAUAUCAAAAUCUUGGGUUUGGAAUUUAGAGAGAUUGGAGCUUGUUUUGGAGUGAAAUUGAGGCAUUAAUGGGGAGGCAUCGUAGUAGAAAUACUUACAUAAUCUGUUUUAGUGUUAGCUUGACAAAUCUUUAGCAGAGGAAAUGAUUGGUGGUGUAAGGAUAGCGUCAAUUCAAUAUCGUUUGAUUCUUUAUUAGAAUUCUUG